Molecule: ribosomal RNA, 253 nt
Filed under: uncultured bacterium
Lineage: Bacteria
Description: partial 16S ribosomal RNA
Rfam family: Bacterial small subunit ribosomal RNA
Source: RNAcentral
UACAGAGGUCCCAAGCGUUGUUCGGAUUCACUGGGCGUAAAGGGUGCGCAGGUGGCUGGGUAAGUUUGAUGUGAAAGCCCCGGGCUUAACCCGGGAAUGGCAUUGAAUACUAUUCGGCUGGAGGAUUGGAGGGGGGACUGGAAUUCUUGGUGUAGCAGUGAAAUGCGUAGAUAUCAAGAGGAACACCAGUGGCGAAGGCGAGUCCCUGGACAAUACCUGACACUGAGGCACGAAAGCCAAGGGAGCAAACAGG